This 1208-nucleotide long non-coding RNA is filed under the name Salmo salar (Atlantic salmon). RNAcentral describes it as "lncRNA (ENSSSAG00000087679.1)". The record is from RNAcentral. Lineage: Eukaryota; Metazoa; Chordata; Actinopteri; Salmoniformes; Salmonidae.
CAGUAGUUGCAGCAGUAGUAACAACAGCAGUAGUUGCAGCAGCAGCAACAGCAGUAGUUGCAGCAACAGCAGCAGCAGCAGUAGUAGCAGCAACAGCAGUAGUAGCAGCAACAGCAGUAGUAGCAGCAACAGCAGCAACAGCAGUAGUAGCAGCAACAGCAGUAGUAGCAGCAACAGCAGUAGUAGCAGCAGCAGCAGCAGUAGUAACAGCAGCAGUAGUAGCAGCAACAGCAGCAGUAGCAGCAACAGCAGUAGUAGUAGCAGCAACAGCAGCAGUAGUAGCAGCAGCAGCAGCAGCAGCAGCAGAGCAGCAGCAGCAGCAGCAGUAGUAGAAGCAGCAGCAGCAGUAACAACAGCAGCAGCAGUAACAACAGCAGCAGCAGCAGUAACAACAGCAACAGCAGCAGCAGUAACAGCAGCAGCAGUAGCAGCAGCAGCAGCAGCAGUAACAACAGCAGCAGCAGCAGUAACAACAGCAGCAGCAGCAGUAACAACAGCAGCAGCAGUAGCAACAGCAGCAGCAGCAGUAACAACAGCAGCAGCAGCAGUAACAACAGCAGCAGCAGUAACAACAGCAGCAGCAGCAGUAACAACAGCAGCAGCAGCAGUAACAGCAGCAGCAGCAGCAGUAACAACAGCAGCAGCAGUAACAGCAGCAGCAGCAGCAGUACCAGCAGCAGUAGUAACAGCAGCAGCAGCAGUAGUAACAGCAGCAGCAGCAGUAGUAACAGCAGCAGCAGCAGUAGUAACAGCAGCAGCAGUAGUAACAGCAGCAGCAGCAGUAGUAACAGCAGCAGCAACAGCAGCAGUAGUAACAGCAGCAGCAGCAGUAGUAACAGCAGCAGCAGUAGUAACAGCAGCAGUAGUAACAGCAGCAGCAGUACAGGCAACAGCAGCAGUAGUAACAACAGCAGCAGCAGUAGUAACAACAGCAGCAGCAGCAGUAGUAACAGCAGCAGCAGCAGCAGCAGUAGUAACCAGCAGCAGCAGCAGCAGCAGUAACAGCAUACAGCAGCAGACAGCAGCAGUAGUCAACAGCAGCAGCAGCAGUAGUAACAGCAGCAGCAGCAACAGCAGUAGUACAACAGCAGCAGCGGUAACAACAGCAGCAGCAGCAGUAGUAACAACAGCAGCAGCAGCAGUAGUAACAGCAGCAGCAGCAGCAGUACAACAGCAGCAGCAACAGUAGUCAACAGCAGCAGCAGCAG